UCCGAGUUGACCCCGGCAGUCUCCUGCGAGUCCCCGCCAUUACGCGCUGGCAACACAGGACAAGGGUUGCGCUCGUUGCGGGACUUAACCCAACAUGUCACCACACGAGCUGACGACAGCCAUGCAGCACCUGUCUCCUGGUCGUAUUGCUACGAACCCCGUGUCUCCACGGGUGGCCAGGGAUGUCAAACCCAGGUAAGGUUUUUCGCGUUGCUUCGAAUUAAACCACAUGAUCCACCGCUUGUGCGGGCCCCCGUCAAUUCCUUUGAGUUUUAGUCUUGCGACCGUACUUCCCAGGCGGGGUACUUAUUGCGUUAGCUCCGGCUCGGCAGGGGUCAAGACCCACCAAGCCUAGUACCCAUCGUUUACGGCGUGGACUAC
RNAcentral lists this unclassified non-coding RNA (381 nucleotides) under uncultured Oligoflexales bacterium. RNAcentral describes it as "contains 16S-23S intergenic spacer region". The record is from RNAcentral. Lineage: Bacteria; Pseudomonadati; Bdellovibrionota; Oligoflexia; Oligoflexales.